CUUCACCGAGCCGAGCAGGAGUGGCUUGUCCUCGUCGCGGUUGCGCCCGUAGGUGGCCAGCAGCGCGUGCGCCUC
This 75-nucleotide antisense RNA is filed under the name Umezawaea tangerina. Its description in RNAcentral is "ASpks TB sRNA". It matches the Rfam family "ASpks TB sRNA". Lineage: Bacteria; Bacillati; Actinomycetota; Actinomycetes; Pseudonocardiales; Pseudonocardiaceae. The record is from Rfam by way of RNAcentral.